RNAcentral lists this ribosomal RNA (402 nucleotides) under bacterium. RNAcentral describes it as "partial 16S ribosomal RNA". It matches the Rfam family "Bacterial small subunit ribosomal RNA", at positions 355 to 776 of the family's 1533-position model. The record is from RNAcentral.
UGGGGAAUUUUGCACAAUGGGGGAAACCCUGAUGCAGCGACGCCGCGUGAUUUAGAAGGCCUUCGGGUUGUAAACAUCUUUUCUAUGGGAAGAAAAUGACAGUACCAUAGGAAUAAGGACCGGCUAAUUACGUGCCAGCAGCCGCGGUAAUACGUAAGGUCCGAGCGUUGUCCGGAAUCAUUGGGCGUAAAGGGUACGUAGGCGGGUAAGCAAGUUAGAAGUGAAAUCCUAUAGCUCAACUAUAGUAAGCUUUUAAAACUGCUCAUCUUGAGGUAUGGAAGGGAAAGUGGAAUUCCUAGUGUAGCGGUGAAAUGCGCAGAUAUUAGGAGGAGUACCGGUGGCGAAGGCGACUUUCUGGCCAUAACCUGACGCUGAGGUACGAAAGCGUGGGUAGCAAACAGG